CAGUAGCCGCGGUAAUACGUAGGGUGCAAGCGUUAAUCGGAAUUACUGGGCGUAAAGCGUGCGCAGGCGGUUAUAUAAGACAGAUGUGAAAUCCCCGGGCUCAACCUGGGAACUGCAUUUGUGACUGUAUAGCUAGAGUACGGCAGAGGGGGAUGGAAUUCCGCGUGUAGCAGUGAAAUGCGUAGAUAUGCGGAGGAACACCGAUGGCGAAGGCAAUCCCCUGGGCCUGUACUGACGCUCAUGCAUGAAAGCGUGGGGAGCAAACAGGAUUAGAUACCCCCGUAGUCCCUGUCUCUUAUAC
This 301-nucleotide ribosomal RNA is filed under the name uncultured bacterium. RNAcentral describes it as "partial 16S ribosomal RNA". It matches the Rfam family "Bacterial small subunit ribosomal RNA", at positions 509 to 807 of the family's 1533-position model. The record is from RNAcentral.